UACAGAGGUCUCGAGCGUUAGGCGGAAUCACUGGGCUUAAAGCGUGUGUAGGCGGAUUGCUAAGUACCUUAUGAAAUCCCACGGCUUAACCGUGGAACUGCUUGGUAUACUGGCUGUCUUGAGCCACUUAGGGGCGACCGGAACAAACGGUGGAGCGGUGAAAUGCGUAGAGAUCAUGAGGAAGACCAGUGGCGAAGGCGGGUCUCUGGACAGUUCCUGACACUGAGGCACGAAGGCCAGGGGAGCAAACGGG
RNAcentral lists this ribosomal RNA (253 nucleotides) under uncultured bacterium. Its description in RNAcentral is "partial 16S ribosomal RNA". It matches the Rfam family "Bacterial small subunit ribosomal RNA", at positions 524 to 776 of the family's 1533-position model. The record is from RNAcentral.